Molecule: long non-coding RNA, 1766 nt
Organism: Astatotilapia calliptera (eastern happy)
Lineage: Eukaryota; Metazoa; Chordata; Actinopteri; Cichliformes; Cichlidae
Source: Ensembl
ACAAAGAAACUCAGUCAUUAUGAAAAUAAUUCUUCAAGAAACAGUAUUUAUAUGUAAAAUGGGCGGAUACUACUACUUCUAUAAACCAAAUGUGAAUGUUUAAGAAAUAACGCUCACCUGCAGAGACAAGCAUGACAAUGCUGAAAAACCACAAGAACCAGCGGAACAACGCAGAUGACUCGGCAGCCAUUCUUGUGCUUUCUAGAUCAGCUGACUGUAUUUUGUUUUAUGAGUAUGUUAUUGUUUUCUGUUAAUGCCACAGGCUACUUUAAAAACUAAAGGAAUGCCAAAGUCACAAACCACGUUUUCAGCAGUGCGCCGCCAUUACUGUUCAGGAAGAAACUUAGCUGAAAACGUCAUCACAUGGAAUUUUUUUUUUUUUAUAGACAGCACAAGUUUAGAGCUGAUGUAUUUCACGUGAAAGGGUGUUUUGGGUGAGAGAAAUAGCAGCCCUGAGACCUAAACUAUUUUUAAUUUUCUCCUAACUAUUUGUAAUGAGUUUAUAUUCCUGUCUGGCCCAACUAAGCUUCCUUUAUUAACUGGAAGAUGUAACACAGUUGUUACUUACUUAAAAAAAUAAAAAUCCUGAGUUUCAGGAGCUUAAAUAUUAUUCACAGCUCACCUACUUUUCCUUUUUUUUUUUUUUUUUUUUUAUAUUCUUUAUUUCUACAAUAUUACCUCAUAAAGAUGAUUACAGGCAUUAAUUAACACAGUUUACAAGAGAAAAACGAAACAAAACGAGAAGAAAGACAGAUAGAAAGAAAAAGAAAGAAAAAAAAAAAAAAAAAAAAAAAAGGAAAAAAAAAAUAUAUAUAUAAAAUAAAAGGAGAAAGCUCUGUCGGGAGUAAACAAUUAACUAAAUUGGUGGUUUCAAGCUUUAAAGAGAAAAUUCGGUUUAUAGGUAUUAACGUAUUGGACCCACUUAUCCCAGCACAGAUGGAACCAGGCCAUCCUGUCAUUAACAUGAGCUGUUACUUCCUCCAUCCUAUAUAUCUCUAACGUAAUUUCCCACCAUAAUGACAAAGUCGGUAUGUCUUGCGAGGACCAUUUCUUUGUUAUACAUUUCUUACUUGCAACCAAUAAAGCUCGUAACAGACAUAUGUCACUUUUGGACCAGUUCUGCGGUAUACAGCCAAAAAAAAUUGUCUUCAUAUCCUGAGGGAAUGUACAGUUAAAAAUGCCUUGUAAUAUACCAUGAAUGUCUUUCCAGUAAGUCCGUAGCACAGGACAGUCCCACAUAAUAUGGGUGUGAUGGGCUCCUUGGUAUCCACAGUUUCGCCAGCACACGGGAGGAUUCCCAUCAUAGUGAGCCUUUUGACAUGGAGUGAUAAAGAACCUUAUCAGAGUUUUCCAUCCGAACUCCCUCCAGCUUUUGGAGGAAGUACUCCUCCAUUGCCAUUCCCACAUCUGAGUCCAUUCUUCCCUAGAAAUACACAUCCCUCCCUCCUUUUCCCAUAACAUCUUCACAUAAUCAGUUGAGUGUGGAAGCUUAUUCAUAAAAAAAUUGUACCAAAAAAAAAUGAGUCUUGUGUCAACAUCCCCACUGUACGCCUGUCUAAAUAAAGUUACCAAUUCCACGUUAGUAUUUGACAUCUGACCGAUUGUUGUCUUUAUAUAGUGUCUUAUUUGCAAGUAUCGAAAAAAAUCCUGUUUUUCUAGAUUGUGUCUCUGUUUCAGCAUGUCAAAACUAAUAAGGUUCCCAUCCUUUAUCAAACUAUCAUAUGUAGAUAACCCUUUAGCAGGCCAGCUUUUAAAACGUGAGUCCA